CAGUAGCCGCGGGAAUACGAAGGGGGCUAGCGUUGCUCGGAAUUACUGGGCGUAAAGGGAGCGUAGGCGGACAUUUAAGUCAGGGGUGAAAUCCCAGAGCUCAACUCUGGAACUGCCCUUGAUACUGGGUGUCUUGAGUGUGAUAGAGGUAUGUGGAACUCCGAGUGUAGAGGUGAAAUUCGUAGAUAUUCGGAAGAACACCAGUGGCGAAGGCGACAUACUGGAUCAUUACUGACGCUGAGGCUCGAAAGCGUGGGGAGCAAACAGGAUUAGAGACCCCCGUAGUCCCUGUCUCUUAUAC
Molecule: ribosomal RNA, 301 nt
Filed under: uncultured bacterium
Lineage: Bacteria
Description: partial 16S ribosomal RNA
Rfam family: Bacterial small subunit ribosomal RNA
Source: RNAcentral